GACGAACGCUGGCGGCGUGCCUAAUACAUGCAAGUAGAACGCACAGUUUAUACCGUAGCUUGCUACACCAUAGACUGUGAGUUGCGAACGGGUGAGUAACGCGUAGGUAACCUGCCUGGUAGCGGGGGAUAACUAUUGGAAACGAUAGCUAAUACCGCAUAAUAUUGAUUAUUGCAUGAUAAUUAAUUGAAAGGUGCAAUUGCACCACUACCAGAUGGACCUGCGUUGUAUUAGCUAGUAGGUGAGGUAACGGCUCACCUAGGCGACGAUACAUAGCCGACCUGAGAGGGUGAUCGGCCACACUGGGACUGAGACACGGCCCAGACUCCUACGGGAGGCAGCAGUAGGGAAUCUUCGGCAAUGGACGAAAGUCUGACCGAGCAACGCCGCGUGAGGGAAGAAGGGUUUCGGAUCGUAAAGCUCUGUUGUAAGAGAAGAACGGGUGUGAGAGUGGAAAGUUCACACUGUGACGGUAUCUUACCAGAAAGGGACGGCUAACUACGUG
RNAcentral lists this ribosomal RNA (505 nucleotides) under uncultured bacterium. RNAcentral describes it as "partial 16S ribosomal RNA". It matches the Rfam family "Bacterial small subunit ribosomal RNA", at positions 28 to 507 of the family's 1533-position model. The record is from RNAcentral.